This 425-nucleotide ribosomal RNA is filed under the name uncultured rumen bacterium. Its description in RNAcentral is "bacterial SSU rRNA". It matches the Rfam family "Bacterial small subunit ribosomal RNA", at positions 354 to 776 of the family's 1533-position model. The record is from RNAcentral.
GUGGGGAAUAUUGGUCAAUGGGCGAGAGCCUGAACCAGCCAAGUAGCGUGCAGGACGACUGCCCUAUGGGUUGUAAACUGCUUUUAUGCGGGGAUAAAGUGAGGGACGUGUCCCUUUUUGUAGGUACCGCAUGAAUAAGGACCGGCUAAUUCCGUGCCAGCAGCCGCGGUAAUACGGAAGGUCCGGGCGUUAUCCGGAUUUAUUGGGUUUAAAGGGAGCGCAGGCCGAUGGUUAAGCGUGACGUGAAAUGUAGCCGCUCAACGGCUGAACUGCGUCGCGAACUGGCUGUCUUGAGUGAGUACGACGUCAGCGGAAUUCGUGGUGUAGCGGUGAAAUGCUUAGAUAUCACGAAGAACCCCGAUUGCGAAGGCAGCUGACGAGUCCUUUACUGACGCUAAAGCUCGAAGGUGCGGGUAUCGAACAGG